GCCCUGGUAGUUCAGUGGAUAGAACAAGGUCCUCCUAAGACUUAGACGGCAGUUCAACUCUGCCCCGGGGUA
This 72-nucleotide transfer RNA is filed under the name Bacteriophage sp. Its description in RNAcentral is "tRNA-Arg". It matches the Rfam family "tRNA". From Rfam's summary of the family: Transfer RNA (tRNA) molecules are approximately 80 nucleotides in length. Their secondary structure includes four short double-helical elements and three loops (D, anti-codon, and T loops). The record is from RNAcentral. RNAcentral also lists the same sequence under 1 other name.